This 597-nucleotide ribosomal RNA is filed under the name Trichoderma asperellum. Its description in RNAcentral is "eukaryotic LSU rRNA". The stretch from base 225 to 379 matches the Rfam family "5.8S ribosomal RNA". Lineage: Eukaryota; Fungi; Ascomycota; Sordariomycetes; Hypocreales; Hypocreaceae. The record is from RNAcentral.
UACUCACGACUGCGUGGACUUCCUGAUUGAGCACGUGUACGUUUCCAAGUGCUUGUAGUCGGCGGGUGCUAAAACAAAGUGGUUGUCUUAGCCCGGAACAGGCGUAGGGUUCCCGUCGCCCCCUCCUGAUAACUAAUUACCCCGCGGAGGAGCCAACGAAGAUCCCCACUUUUUUCGGGGGCGGCCUCUUUUUUAGGGGGUCCCAAAACUAAAAAAGGAACCCAAACAUUCAACAACGGAUGUAAUGGUUCUGGCAUCGAUGAAGAACGGAGCGAAAUGCGAUAAGUAAUGUGAAUUGCAGAAUUCAGUGAAUCAUCGAAUUUUUGAACGCACAUUGCGCCCGCCAGUAUUCUGGCGGGCAUGCCUGUACCGAGCGUCAUUUCAACCCUCGAACCCCUCCGGGGGAUCGGCGUUGGGGAUCGGGACCCCUCACACGGGUGCCGGCCCCUAAAUACAGUGGCGGUCUCGCCGCAGCCUCUCCUGCGCAGUAGUUUGCACAACUCGCACCGGGAGCGCGGCGCGUCCACGUCCGUCAAAACACCCAACUUCAUGAAAAGCUAACUUCGGACAAGGUCGAACAACCAUGGUAACUCCACG